Molecule: ribosomal RNA, 399 nt
Filed under: uncultured bacterium
Lineage: Bacteria
Description: bacterial SSU rRNA
Rfam family: Archaeal small subunit ribosomal RNA
Source: RNAcentral
GCGCGAAAACUUUACAAUGCUGGCAACAGCGAUAAGGGAACCUCGAGUGCCAGGUUACAAAUCUGGCUGUCGAGAUGCCUAAAAAGCAUUUCAUAGCAAGGGCCGGGCAAGACCGGUGCCAGCCGCCGCGGUAACACCGGCGGCUCGAGUGGUAACCGUUAUUAUUGGGUCUAAAGGGUCUGUAGCCGGCCGGAUAAGUCUCUUGAGAAAUCUGGCAGCUUAACUGUCAGGCUUUUCAGGAGAUACUGUCUGGCUCGAGGCCGGGAGAGGUGAGAGGUACUUCAGGGGUAGGGGUGAAAUCUUGUAAUCCUUGAAGGACCACCAGUGGCGAAGGCGUCUCACCAGAACGGACCUGACGGCAAGGGACGAAAGCUAGGGGCACGAACCGGAUUAGAUACC